Molecule: ribosomal RNA, 493 nt
Filed under: uncultured bacterium
Lineage: Bacteria
Description: partial 16S ribosomal RNA
Rfam family: Bacterial small subunit ribosomal RNA
Source: RNAcentral
ACGAACGCUGGCGGCGUGCUUAACACCUGCAAGUCGAACGGUGAAGCGCCUUCCUUUUUGGUGGGUGUGGAUGAGUGGCGAACGGGUGAGUAACACGUGAGUAACCUGCCCCCUUCUUCUGGAUAACCGCAUGAAAGUGUGGCUAAUACGGGAUAUUCUGGGUCUGUCGCAUGAUGGGUCUGGGAAAGAUAUUGUUUCGGUGGGGGAUGGGCUCGCGGCCUAUCAGCUUGUUGGUGGGGUGAUGGCCUACCCAGGCGGUGACGGGUAGCCGGCCUGAGAGGGUGGACGGUCACACUGGGACUGAGACACGGCCCAGACUCCUACGGGCGGCAGCAGUGGGGAAUAUUGCACAAUGGGCGCAAGCCUGAUGCAGCGACGCCGCGUGAGGGAUGGAGGCCUUCGGGUUGUGAACCUCUUUCGCCAGUGAAGCAGGCCUGCCUCGUUUGUGGGUGGGUUGACGGUAGCUGGAUAAGAAGCGCCGGCUAACUACGUG